Molecule: long non-coding RNA, 3304 nt
Organism: Photinus pyralis (common eastern firefly)
Lineage: Eukaryota; Metazoa; Arthropoda; Insecta; Coleoptera; Lampyridae
Exons: 3
Source: RefSeq, a predicted model, not a curated record
UAUGUUUCAGCGUCUUCUGCAUUUCGGGAAGGAUGUCAUUUCCGAGAUAUCCAUGACGGAGAAAUAAAUGGACGAUGGAUGGACGAUAUAUGGGGAUACCGAGCCGAUAUUUACGAUCUGUAUUUAGUUAGCAGAAACGUGGGAGAGACCAGAAGCAAUGGGGGCUGCUACUGCUCAUUGUGACGUCAUAGCCCUCCCUAAAAUCCUGACAUACGCACAUGAUGGAGGUACAGAAGCUGUCAAGAGAUUAUGUUUCGCCGCCUUUUUCAUCAUGGCCGUUAUGGUUCCAUUGAAUAUUAUACAAAAGAGAUUUGUUCCUCUUGUAAACAAUACCUACCUACCUACUAAACAUGAAUGGAGAAGUAUUUUCUUAUAGGGUUGGGAACACGCUUACUACCCUACUUCUUGCAGAACACCUGCUCAUCAGUAUUGGAGACGUUCAAGAUCAACAAUCUAGACUCGUUUAACUUACUGUACUUUUUUAUUGUAUAGUUAGGUAGUUGCAUAACAGUAGCUAGAUAUACAUACCUACUGUCGGUAUUGAUUUUUUAAUACCACCCAAAAUGUUACUGUAUCUAGUUAUAACACUAUAUUCUAUCUUUUGAAACUUAAUGCAAUAAUGGCUCGUCCGGUUUUAGGCUAGGACAACGAACAUUGCAACUUACCAAAUCACAAUUUGUAUAUAAUAACAUAAUUAAUUAGUAGUGGUGGUAUCAAUUUGCAAAUUAUGUACCUACUGUGACGUGGUAUCUAAAGGGCGUCAUACACAUUAAGUUUAAGGGAAACAUACCUAAUCUAUAUAACAUUCUAGAACCUACAAAAUGGCGGAAAGUACGGGGUGACCAAAUGAGAAUGAUGUGGCCCUCAAAUUACCAUAGCGGGUCGUAAAUCUUUGGAGUGAAACAUUUUUUUAAAUAAAAGGGAGUAAAACGAGCAUGCUUGAAAUUUUACGGCAACCACUAAGGAGCGGCACACGAAUUCUAAAACAGGGAAAACCGAGGGGAAAAUGCUCCUACGUAUUUUUUUGUUAAACUUUUAAAACUUUUUAAAUUGUAGUCACAAAAAAUUCUGCCAAAUUUUUCCUACUUCAUAGAUUUCCAAAAACUUACCAGAUAUCGUUUAACAGUCAAUACACCGGUGUUUCCAAGAGCGUGACUAGAGUAUUAAUUUAGAUACGGUAUCGCGGUUUAGAGUGAUUUUUGACUGUUUCUCCAAAAAAUUUAAAUGGAACUUUUUUUAUUUUUACCUAUACAGUGCGUUCAAGAUAAGAGAGUAAUCUCAAGAUCUCUUUUAUUUGGCAAGAUACGAAAAAUGUGUCAUUUAUAAUUGUAUAUGUAACUUUACGAUCUAUCUGAUCGAAUAUUCAAACUUCCGGUAGCACUUUCGGCUUAACCGGAAAAAAGCGGAAAUUGAUGCAACUUUUGUUUUUCAAAUGCAAUACCUAUGGUUUUUACGAUAUUUGAAAAGAGCAAUCAAUUCUCAAAUUGUCAAAAAUGAAGAAACUGGUGAAUCAAUAUUUAGAAAAUUUAUGAAAAGCAAAAGCAUCAAUUUCUGGUUAAACCCAAAGUAAUGCAGAAAGUUUGAAAAUGCGAUCAGAUAGUUCGUUACGUUACAUAUAAAAUUAUAUUAGACACAUUUUUUGUAUCUCGCCAAAUAAAAGAGAUGCCUAUUGAAGUGAUCCUCUUAUCUUGAACGCACUGUAUAGCAUUAGAAAGUAUAAAGAUGCCUACAUCCAUGAGACACUUUCUGACAAGAGAAGGACAAUAAAUAAAUAAAUGAAUAAAGACCUAAUCAAAUAGCCGUUUCUUGACAUUCUUUAAUCUGCACUUGUUGAAUCGCGAAAACAAAGUAAUCUGGAAACAAAAUGCUGUCAAACAGUAUCGUAGUUGAUAGUUGAAUAUUGAUUACAACAGAUUAAUGCUUCAUAAGUCAUAUAAAUUGGUUUUACUGGAAGGAUGGUAGAGGAAACUUUGUAGCACUCAUCCUAGGAACAACCCUUAGGCUACAUUUUAUAUGCCUUAAAAGUAGACUUUUAAACCAAUCAAAACUCAUAGUUGGUAGGUUUCCUCAUAAAAUUUUUUGAGAAAGCUUAACAAUUUCAAUGUUUUCAUACAACUAAAUAUUGAACAUUUUAUAUUCAAAGCUAUAGAUACUCUAGCUGAAAAAAUGAAUUACAACAAUUGUUUAAACUAUACCUACCUUUUCAACUUCAAUUUGGGACGACGAAACAAAAACCAAUUUGAAUUUCUGUAAAGGAAGCGUUCCCGCAAACGUAACAUACUGUUCCAUUUAAAUUUUUUGAGAAACGGGUCAUAAUCUAUAGGUACACUACACCGAAGCGCCAUCUAACGGAAAUCAAUAACCCUGAUCGGAUAAUUCCGACGUGCUUGCGGUAUCCAGUGUACACUCAAGUUCUUAAAAAUCUAGCACAAUAUUGAUAUUCAAGUUUAAUUUUACCUCCUCUUAUUAUUAUUUCCUUUACGAUAGGUAUAGCUGUAGUUAACCACACGUAUAUGCUUCCAUCAUUUGAUAUUUUAACAAAAACCUCGUUAUCUGUUUUGAAGUGUUUAGCGAUGUAUGAAACCAGUUCCUAGCAUUUCUCUCUUGCGUGCAUUUAGUAUAUGGACGAAUUGUAAAUAUUAGAUGAGAUUAACUGAUUUAUUACUCCCUGAUGGCCAUUUGGCCACAAAUAUAGAGUGUAUAAUUUUCAUGUAUAACUUAAUUCAAUUAACGAUACUUUGGUAAUUACGAGUAUAAACAUGCAAGUUUGAAUUGAGCGUUAAUUUUAUAGCAACGUCCAAAAUGGAGCGUUCACGAAAGCUCCUUUAAUAUACUGUAGACUGCACUGGUACCUAAAGUUGACUGGGCUCCGAUCCAUCUAAAAAAAAUUCUAAUCUUGAGACCCACGCACAAAAAUAUUAAAAUACCUACUAUACCUAGGUGCUAUAAAGUUUGUUAGCGUUAUCUAGAAAACACCGGGUGGAGAUCGGCUUACUAGUUUCUCCUUUUUUUUCAUUAACAUAGGUAUGUAAUAUUAUGUGCGAUGCCACGCAAAUAGUCAUGCAUGUUAUAUUGAUGUCAACGUUUUCAGCAAGCUGUUUGUUUCUGUGAGCACACUCUCUGUGGUUUUUACGAGUAGGUACUAGCUCGGGUACUAGUUGAUUUUUGCACGCCUGCAUAUUGUACGAUUCGCAAUUGGUCCUUGUCCCCUAUGGAUUGCUCCAAUAAAUUUCCAGAUAUUCGGAUGGUCUACAGAAAUCUUUGGCAACCUCUUACUAAAUUGUUGGUUUUUGGCAAAACAUUC